UAUAACUGAGAAGCUGUCAGAUGAACCUAUAUAAGCUGGCGAGAGUAAUGUAUUGACAUGCUGGCCGUUACACCUGUCACUGUAUUUGAGAGACAGUGUAUGCGGUUUCGUAUAAAUUUGCGGAGCUGCGAAAUUCGAUAACACUGUCACUGUAACAAUUGAGGCAUAUAGAUUACGUGGAACAAUCCUAGAUAUCUCAUCAAGCACAGAGAGCCUAAAUUUCAACUUGGGAAAAUAAAG
Molecule: non-coding RNA, 240 nt
Organism: Paramuricea clavata
Lineage: Eukaryota; Metazoa; Cnidaria; Anthozoa; Malacalcyonacea; Plexauridae
Source: the annotation of a GenBank genome assembly